AGCUUUACACAGUGGCAGUAUAAUAGCCAAUGAGGUUUAUCUGAGGUGCAAUCAUGGCUAAUUGAAAACUUAAUUAAUAUGACCUGACAUUAUUUAUCUUAGCCUGUUACUAAAUUGCAAUUUUCAAUAAUUUAUAAU
RNAcentral lists this small nuclear RNA (138 nucleotides) under Cavia porcellus (domestic guinea pig). Its description in RNAcentral is "U4 spliceosomal RNA". It matches the Rfam family "U4 spliceosomal RNA". Rfam says of the family: U4 small nuclear RNA (U4 snRNA) is a component of the major U2-dependent spliceosome. The structure of U4 snRNA from yeast and human has been reported. The record is from Rfam by way of RNAcentral. Lineage: Eukaryota; Metazoa; Chordata; Mammalia; Rodentia; Caviidae.